AAGCAGUGGAAACCACUUUUCAAAGGUGUGGAGACUGAUGAACUGGAGUUGCUGACAAGAAGACUGAAGGAAUGUUGUGCUGGACUGCGAAAUAUCAGAACUGGGGUGGAUGAUCAGUUCCACUGCCAAAUGGAAACAAAUAUGUUAGCAUUAGAGUUGAGAUUCUGCAUGGCUGAAUCCAUUGUGGAUUUGUUGAGGUGGUCCUCCAGGUAUGGCCCGGGGCACUCAAGUUUUAACAAAAUUAUGUGUAACAUUUGGAGGUGUAUCUAUAUGGUGUUGUUAUGA
RNAcentral lists this long non-coding RNA (285 nucleotides) under Oryza sativa Indica Group (long-grained rice). RNAcentral's name for it is "lncRNA OsZS97_01G007940". The record is from RNAcentral. Lineage: Eukaryota; Viridiplantae; Streptophyta; Magnoliopsida; Poales; Poaceae.